GCAAUUAAUAGCAACUUACCCUAAGUUUAAAAAAACGUUCUUUUAGCUUUUUAGGCGGAAGGAUCUAUCCAUACCAUAAAGGGUAGGAAGUCUUUCAAUUGGAUGUGCGGGUCAUCGAGAAACGUAUCGUUCGCCAUAAGACUGUCCCAUGCCAUAAAGAGGGCAGGUAGUAUAGGGGAAGGAUAGAAUAGUCAUUAAUCUUUUAGGCAUUAUGCGAGGAUACCUUAGUAAUGGGGACAAACAUCAUGUUUUUACUGAGGCACCUUCGAGGGACAAAACUGAUGAUGAUAAUGAACUUAGGGCAACAUUUGUUUUGCUUUAGGUAUCCUCGGAAUCAAUGGACUUUGACUAUUUAGUACAAUUAAAGGCAACAAGAGUAAGGCAACCAAUUAACAAGGCAACAGGCAACAAGAGGGGUUACCCUAAAGGUGUGUGGGUGCAACAAUCACGUGAUUGAAUUCAGAUAUUUAAUCUUGUAUGGUUAGUGAUCUAACGUUUGAUUGAUAAUCUUGCACUCCCUAAUUUACUAACCACGCAGUUAAUAUUGUGCGAAAAUUAAAAUGCAAAAAAACAUAAAGUCCUACGCUAUUACAAUAAACACCUGCGAGUGGGAAAAAUAAAGGCAAGAAAUAAAACCUAUAACUAUUACAAAAACCUUGCAUGCUAUACACAUUUUCUAGAAUUUAAAUAGAUUAAAAUAAAGGCAGAAAAGUAAAUAAAUAAUUAAAAUUAAAGGCAGAAAUUUAAAUAAAUGCAAAAAUUAAAUAAAUAAUUUAAAACAUGCGACAUACAAUGGAGUGGGAGAUGAGAAGAGAAAUUCGCGCAUAAAAUAUAGUUAAGAAAAACCAGGGUUAAAAACCUUAUGGCUAAAAAAACCUAGCCUACAGUUUGAUAGACAACCCUUACAUUGUUGAUAUGACUCUGAUAAAAGGCUGAAACCUGACUAUGAUUAAAUUGUAAACCUAAAAUUACUAAUUAUUAAACCCUAAUAAUAUUAGCCUAAACUUGCCCUGGAAACCCUAAUUUGAUUAACCUAAAAUUGAUCUAACUUAAAUUAAUUAACCCUAAAUUAAUCAUUUAAUUAUUAAUCUUAAUUAAAUCCUAAUUAUGUAGAAAUGUUAAAUUGACUAAAACCUAAUAUCUAAUUUAAAUCCUAAUAAUAUACCAACUAAUUAGAACUAAACCUAAUUUUAAUUUUAAUUGGUUGAAUAAAAAGAACUAAACAAUAACCAAAAAAAAGAAAUAAAAUAAUCAAAUAAUAAAAAGAAACAAAAACCUGGGCGAUAAUAAUUCUGUGUGGAGGACCUGUGAGGGUCCACGGUGGAAUUGCGCUUUCUGGACCGCUGGAUUAAUCUCCGUGACAUUCUGAUGGUUGAUAUUGAUUGGCACACCAUGCACGCGCGGAGCCUCAUCACGCUGGAUUCUGUGAACACCAACACCUCAACUGGGAAGUAAAAAAAUAAAGAAACUGAAAGGCGUGAGGCCCCCAGGGAUCGAACCCACGCAUAAGGGUUCUUUCUCGCUCUUUGCCACUUGAACCAUACACCAUUCAUGUCAUUUGCACACGUGAAAGAGUAUAGAUAAUCAAACAAUUGGCUAAAUGCAAAAUUAAAAAAAAAUAGUCAAAACCUGGGGCCUACCACUCUGCUAACUAUCCAAUUGCAAACGGAGAGAGGGAUUGGAAAUAUUGACUCACAAAUGGAGAGUGGCCACGUAACGGUCAACCUUUCAAACGCAACUAUUCAUUGUCUUCUUCAUCCUCCAUGCAGAAUUACCUGCGAAAACUCCCGCGACAUUACCUGCGGAUUUAUCCACGGGUUCUUCAUCUUUGCACCUGCGAUUUUUGAAACUCAUACAAAACAUGGUUCAAACUCACAUAAACGUGCCCAGAUCUCCUAAAUCGACGUCUCUGGACUCAAUGAUGACCUCGUUAAGGAUUGAAACGGCCUUCCCGUAAGGGUUCGAAGAACAACAUGAAGCUUGCCCUAACAAUGGCAUUUAUGUAACAAUGCGUUUAGACCCUCAUGUACACGUCCAGUCCUGUUCUAAAUGACCUAGGGAACACAUUAGUAUCAUCCAUUCACAUUAAAACACAGCAACACGCGAAAUACAACAAUCAGAAACAUGAUGGAUUUUGGUGAUUAUGAUAUCCGGAUUUUAGGUGCAAUCACGUGUUAUAAAAUACCUGGACUUACUCUAUGACUCUUCAGGAAUUGAAUGGUAUGAAUGGGAGUUUUUGGAAUUCGUGGAAUCACCACUUUUGCUUGUGCCCUAGUUCUUGAUAUUUUUUUGCACCUUUGAAACCCUACUUUGCUUGGCCAAAAUUCGUCCCCUCUAUCAUUAGGGUUAAUGUGCAUAUAUACUAGAAGCCUUAGGUUAAUUUUGUGGGCUUGGAUAAUAGGUUUUUAGGAGAGAAAAAUAUUUGGAUGAAAAUUCUAUGAUUCUUUCUAUACUUUGCAUAAUGUCUUUUCCAUGGCAUGUUCCACGAACUUGGGCUCUCUCUUAUGAUUAUUUGGGCCUUCAAGUAAUUAAAACCAAAGCCACGCAUUUUAUUCUAUUUAUUUUGUAAUUUUACUUAAUUUAUUUGAUUUUUAAUUGCAUAAAACUCAAAUAAAUAUAAAUAAAGAUCACAAAAAUAUGGGAGUUCAUUUAUAGGUCCUUAUUUAGGUCAUGGGUGUGUUUGAAAUCAAAAUCUUAGGCCCAUUAGUCCAAAAGUUCAAAUUUAGGCAAUUAGGGUUUGGUGUUUUUUUCUUGAAAAUCGACCAACUUGCGCCAAUUAUAACUCCUUCAUUUUUUAUUGUAUGGAAGUGUUCUUGAGCUUUCUAGAAAUCUUAGAGUGUCCUCUAAAGGAUGCUUUUGGUUUCGUCUCGAUUAAAUAUUCCAUGCUCAAGUUAUGAGCUUUGACCCAAAAUGUGUUUUCGUUGACCUUUUCGGAGGACCUGUAAUGUAUUGGCUCCUAUAUCUUAGAUGAAGCAUUUUUAGACCUGGCAUGUGAGAGGCAAAGUUGUAGAGACUUCAAUUUCCUUCAAAAUGAGCUUUGGAUGGGCAAUUUUUGAUGUUCCAUGUGAAAGUUAUGGCCGGUCAAAGUUCAGUUGACUUUUCCUUUAAGAACCCUAAUUUAGAAACUCAGGUUCUUGAUGAUUCUGGAGUUUUUCUUGAUGAAUCAUGAUCAAUACUUGAUCAAAUGAUGAAUGACACUUCACAAUGAGCAUGUUGACCAAAGAUCAGAAGUUUGACUGGGGUUUGAUCAUAGUUUGACUUUUAGGUCAACUAGUCGAUUAUUGAUCGUUCGGGCCAUUGAGUGAGCAAUCUUAUGAAGCAGAGCUUGAAACUUGGCAUAGAGGUUCUUUAAAUCACAUGAGAGACCAUGGAGUCCACUUGAAGUACCAGAAGUUGAUUUCUCUUUGGAGAAAAUCAAAACCCUAGUUCAUAGGCGUUCGUUUAUGAGGGAUGUCUAUUCAGUCAGGUAUUGAGACUUUGAUAUCCAAAUGAGCCUGAGUAUGAAAAUGUGACGGGCAAAUUUUGGGGUAUGACAGGGAGGCUCACUGAGAUUUAGUAAUCUCACCCCAAUCAACUUAUUUUUUUUCAGGUGCAGUUUAGUAGCUUUUGAUAGAUAGCCGGUUCGGAUUGAUGGCUUAAAGUGGUGUCGGCUCGAAGACCUCGUUGAUUUUGACAUUCCGCUGUGCAAGAUCCAUUAAAGACUCAUGUAUUGUGCUACUUAGUAGAAUUUCGUGUUGUAUUUUAUAUGGAUCAAAUAUUAUACCUUGACUUGUGUAUGUACUCAAUAUCAAUUUUAACGUUUCAUGCAUAAUAUACUAGUCAGUUAUGUAUGGGGUGUUACAGUUGGUAUCAGAGCAGGUCGAUUCUCGGCCGAGCCAUGGGACAUCACUAGCAAUUCCUUUCUUCCUCACAUGUGUGCGUUGCUAGCCUGAUUUUACUGAUAUCUCAUUGAGUCGUUGAACUUGAUCAACUCAUCGACUAAGUGCGAGACAGUAGAAUUACGACAGAGCCGCCACGAGGACUCGUAAACCUUUGAGUGUUGUAAACCCAAGCAGUAAGAGUUGAAUGGGUAAUGGAUUGUUGGAAAACGUAAGUGGAUAAUAUUGGAUUCGUCAAGCUUAAGGAGAGCGUUUGACGCGAAAUAGUGAUACUCGAACUGCCAAGUAUGGAUCGAGACAACUAGAACCCCCAAGAUUUUGACUGAACGAAGUGAAGCUUUAUAUAAGUCUUGGCAAUAGCAAGGGAAAUCCAAAUGGGAUUGUGUAUGAGCCUUAUAAGUGGGAUUCUCCGAAGGUGUUGAGCGGUGAAUUAGUAGGAUUCAGUACUGAUGAUGUUGUCGGUAUUAAGUGCGACUGAUGAGCUGAUAGGACAGAAUGGCCUCUGGAAAUGCGGACAGAAGAGUUAGACCUUUCGAAUUGCACUGUUACGGACAAUAGUGGAUAUAUGAAGUAUUAGAUCCUGAUUCAACUUGAAGUACCCUAAGCGAGAGUAGUUUCCUAGUGAAGGUUGGUGGAAUGUACGAGUGUGGUAACUUACGAUGGGGCGAGGUUUGAAUGCUCGGUCGAUAGAAGAGAAUAUGUAUUUCUAUUCUUAUCAUUUUAUAUUUAAGUUCUAGAACUACGCUAGAUGGAAUAUGAAAUGAUGUAGAAGCGUGAAAUGCAGUAACCUAAGUUCUUGUUAGUUGUUGUUCGUCUGACCCUGAGUGAAGCCAUAGAACUACGCUUGGCGUUGGGCGUUCAGGCGAGUAAGAACUAAGAUCUAUCUGGAACUUCAGUAGGAUGAUCGCAGUUGUGUUGGUUGCUAGGAACUAUAUUAUUCCCAUUCGAACUGGAUUAUCCUUAUUAUCUUUCAUGCAUGCGUGAGACAAGUGAGUGCAUGCAUAGCAUAAUAAUCCAAGUUGGGAUCUUAACUAUUUGUGUUUGGCUUAUUGCCUUCUGAGUAAGUAAACCUUGAGGUGCAGCACCCUCAGGAUUUAGCAUCCUGAGGAGUGUGUUUUAAAGGACUUGAGGAACGAUGAGCCUAUUGGAAGCCUAUUCAGACAUUUGUCGGUUGCGACUAUAGGAUACGCGUGAGGAUCAUUAUACGCCACUGAGGUAGGUUACUUGGAUACAUGGUCUCGGAGUUAGACCACCAUGUUAGUACUACCAGAUGGGUAUAAUGCCACAGUAUCGCUGUCGUGCCCAAGAUGCAUUAGUCAUCCUUUUCCGACAAGUGUGGGGGCAAAGAUGACUUGGAGCUCAAGGUAGAAUUCUGAUUUGGAACUCGUGAGACACAUAUUCAGAAUCUCAUAAGGCAUGUGGGAUAAGGAUCCAUACGUCGCGCUCGAUAGUAGGGGACUAACUAGACAGGCGAUGGUGAGAUGGAUAAAGAUCCAAUACUAUACUUAUGGAGACUCUGAGUGAUCGUGAUCGCGUGAGUUAGUAUCAGAUUGUACCUUGGGGACGUUCUUGUUUUGUGAAGUGUUAAGUUGGCAAUUUUGCACGAGUGUCUAGAGUGGGACUCAUGUGCGAUCACGAUAUCCUGAUCAGCAUGGUGAGUGGCUAUCAUGUACCAUUGGCGACCGGUGAUGGAAUAUGCGAAUUGUAUCUUGGACUAGUAUGAUGUGUGACGUAUCUGGUAGAGUGUCUGUAGAUACUCUGAGUGAAGAAAUGACAAUGUUGGUAAAGCAUACACAUUUUGGUUUGAGAACUGCUAAGGAGUCUAUAAGAGAGAUGUUCGAAAUACAAAGUGCAAUUUCUUGCAUUGUGGCUACACUCCGACCGUUGGAAGCACUGCAAUGAAGGAUGCGGCCGCCGCGGAAGUCAGUUUAGUAUCCGAUUCAGAAGUGAUAAAGGCAUUAGAUGAAUGUAUGAAUGAAGAGUGUCCGUGAGAAGGUUGUUGUAUCAGUUAAUUAAUUUGACUCAUCAGAGGUGUUAUCACACCAAGAGAACGAAGUUGUAUAGUUGGGAAGAAGCAAUGUGAAACUGUUAGGGAUGUCGUGAGUUGCAAUACGUUAUGAAGGGUUCGUUGUAUUAGUUAAGUAACAAGACUUGUUGGACGGGAAGACAUAAUAUUUAUGCAUUGUGGGAAUCGAUGGCGGUAGACGAAUUUCUAAGUCAGUGAGUGUUUGGCUUUCAAUGUUAUGGAACCAAAACGUGGAACCAACUUGCGUACAGUGGACCUGGUCCGGAUUGAGGGAAUAAUUAGUGACCUGAUUUUGGAAAUUUCUCAUACUCGAGAUGUAAUCCUUGUUGAGGGUGUCUAAGGUUCUAACACGUAUCUUGGUGGCACGAAAUUCCGAGAAGGAACCUUUGUUAUUUAAGGAUUGGGUAAGCUUGGUAAAGUAAUGGAAACUAAGUGAAUUAUGGAUAUAACGUGACUCAUAGGAUUUCAGGGUGUGUGACUUGUUGGAAUCAGAGUAGCGCAACAGAUCAAGGAAGAAUCAGAUAAGUCUGAGGGGGGGAAUGAACGGACUAUUCAUAGGAUCUCAUGUUGGGAUGGAAUAUUUUCCUGAGGGAAAUUGUCGAAGCAAUGGUUUGUUCAUUCCAGUCUCUCGAGGAUCCACCAUAAACUCAUGAGGUAUUGUCAUUAGGUCGGCUUGGGAAUAUACUUUGGGGAUGGCAUAUGGUCCAAUGUUAGUAGAUCGUCAGUUGAGCUUGUAAGCAACAAGGGUUCGAUAUAGUAUCGUGACCGUCGGAAUACUGAAGGCUAGUGAGGACAUUCAGCGGCCACAAGUUCUUUGUGGUUAAGCCUUGUGCACUAUGAUCGUGCAGGAAGACUUGGACAAUGGUUACAGGUCAGCUGUGGAAUUUCACCUCUCAUCAGUAGAAUCUUGUGUGAAGUUGUCGGAUGUCAAGGCUAUAGUUGCAAGAUGAUUUCCCCUUCGUGGUUUACGGUGACAGUUGUUAUGUCUAAACUGGAGUAAGGGUUAAAGUAAGAAGAAUCAAUUGUAUAAAGUAAAGGUAAACUUGAGACAAACAUCCUAACAUUUUGGAAACCAGAAGUUAGAACCAAGAUAUUUGGCUAACGCCUAAUGUCAUUGUAUGGACUUUGGUAGAGAAUAAUUUGAAGCGUCAUCAUAGAACAGAAUAUUAUGACAAGAAUGCUUGGAUGGGAAGUAAUUCAAGGAGCCUGAGUGAAUCAAUAAGUGUGUUGGACAAGGGUGAACACAAUAGAGUUUGAACAGCAAAUAUCCAAGUGAGUGGAUUACUAGGGUUUCUGAAGUUCUGGGGAUUCAGUGCAGAGCCGUGAAGGUCAAGGACCCUGGAAGGAUCUUUCCCCAGAUAUGUCAAGACGAAGUAUCUGGAUAGACGUGUUGCUUGAGAGUCAAGGCUCUAACCAUGCAUAGUGGGACGCAGGUGUUUUGGCAGAUUAUGUUUCUUCAUAUGGAAUGACCCUCAGACAGAUUAGUGAGAUUAUCUGAAGAGAAAUGUAAGGAACAUUUCAUCCCCUCGUUGGUAUAGAUUUGGACACGUUGUUUCCGUGGUGAUCAGAAAGAAUUCGAGGACGAAUUCAAUUUAAGGGGGGGAGAAUGUAAUACCCCGUAUUGGUCUAAGCAUGAUUAUACAUAAAUUGUGAAGUGCUAAGGAGAAACUAUGAGUUAAGAGAAGUGAGUGGAUUAGUUAGAACCUAACCAAAUGGCAUAGUGGUAAAUCUCAUUUAGUUGAAGGGCAUUUUGGUCAUUAGUCUUCAAUUGCAUGUGGGCCUAAGGCCAUGUUUGGUGGAAUGUAUUACAAAUCACACUUUAUGAGUGGAUUUGAGAGAAAGAAAGAAAGAGAAACUUUUAUUCAUCAUCAUCUUCCCCAUUUUCGUAUUCCAUGGUGCAGCUCCACUAAAUCAGCUUCUGUAUUGGAGGAGAAAACUGACCUUGAAGUUGUGUCAGUUAUGCUGAAUGUGUGUUAUGGAGAGCUACGAAUUUCUUGCUAAUGGAGAUGGAAGUUUGAGUAAGAUAAGAGUUCAAAGGCUGCAUUAACACCAUCUAAACCUCUAUUAAUCCAAGGUGAGUCUCUAGUUAGAGACUUGGGGUUUUGUGGGGAAAUUGGAAUUUGGGGAAAAUUGGGGAUUUGUGUGAUAAAAAAAAUCAUUGCAUGUUUGUUUAAUGAAUAAAGUAUGUGUUAUUUGAUGUGAUUAUAUGUCGUAGAAUGAUGAUACAUGAUGGAGCUCGAAUUCGGAUCAUUAGGGAACCUUAGAAAUGUUUUAGGAUGUUUUGGAACUGGUUUUAUGCAGGAAAAUACGUUUUUUUGACUUUGCUUCAGUAGCAAAUCGAUUUGCAUGGGUUGUAAAUCGAUUUUCCUUCCUGAAAAUGUCAUUUUUGGGCUCUGCUACAGGUGUAAAUCGAUUGCAGUAAGAUGCAAAUCGAUUGCUUACUGACAGGAAAACAACUUUUAUUGUUUUGAUCAUAACUUGAGUUUCGUAACUUGAAAUGAAGCCCGGUCGGAAGCGUUGGAAAGGUCUUUUAAUGAUCUUUAUGAAUAUGCUUAGAUAUAAAGCUUUUAGUUGAUUUAAAAUUUAUGGAAAAUGGAUGUUUAGUUACAUGAUAUCGGAUUAACAUUUAUAGAAUAAAGAAUGGUAUGUUUAAUUCCCCAGAGUGCAGUUCCGUUCCAUGUCGGGAACCGGAAGCCUCUUUGUUAUGAGACUAAUGUGUGUCCAUGUACGUUCUAAAUAAUUAUAUGGUUUGAUUAUGUUUAAUAUAUUCCAUGAUCGAAACAUAUUUAACUCACAUGUGACGAGUAUGUACAAAUGACAUGAUAUUUAUACGAUGGAUUUUGUCUAAUAUUAUGUGCAUAUAAUACAAUGUAAAUUGUUUUCCCGUCGUUCCGGUUGGACGUUCAGAUGCUUGAUUUUUGUGAACUUGCCUUGGUUGAAUAUGCGUGAAUCGAAGUAUAACCGUACUACUAGGAUAGUAAAUCCUGUUUACCCACUAUGUGGAUGCCCAUUGGUAGCCCAUGUGGCGUUUGUGUUAUGUAUUAUAUACCAUGGAUGAUUUGGCUUUAUGCCUGUUGUAUAUACGUGUCUAUAUCCGUAUAUUUUGCGUUACCUGAGCUACUAUUGCGGUGGAAGCAAGUGAGGGUCUUUAAUGGCGUUUCCCACUUGGUAACUCACCUGCGUGAUUAGUAUGGUAAGUGGGUGAUGCCACGUAGGCAAUCACUGAAUUACUUGCCUCUAGUAACGUCAAUUAGACAGUGUUACUAGGCUUUCUCCCGGUGGGCUUGUACGUCGAAGAGAAUGUAUUGCACCUGUUUACUCACCUGCGUACAGAGGAUGAAUACCAUUGCAGUGGAAGCAAGACCGGGGUCUUUAAUGGCGUUUCCCACUUGGUAACUCACUGGCGUGCUUGGUGAUGAGGUUGUAAAUGCCACGUAGGUAAUGGUACAACUUAACUCAUCUCGGGUGGAAUUCCAUAUAGGAAUGACCCGAAUUCAUCGUGCGGUGUGCUUGUGUAAGUCUUUCGACAUAUAUGUACUUGGAUACUCACCGAGGGUACGUGGCAGAGGUAGCCUAGUCAGAUGGGUAUAACUCCUUGAUUCCUCACAUAAGGAUGUGAGUUUGCAUAUUGUGAAUUAUUGUUUUAUUGAACGCCUCAUUGGAUAGUUAAGGGACUUCCAAUUGUGAUUAUACCCUUGUUUGUAUUUGCACCUAAACGUGAGGCAUAACCCCGGAUUCUAGGUGAAUCUUUUUAUGAUGCAUGUACCUUGUAGAACCGAGCAAACCCUUAAGAUAGGGAGGCUCACUGAGAUUUAGUAAUCUCACCCCAAUCAACUUAUAUUUUUUUCAGGUGCAGUUUAGUAGCUUUUGAUAGAUAGCCGGUUCGGAUUGAUGGCUUAAAGUGGUGUCGGCUCGAAGACCUCGUUGAUUUUGACAUUCCGCUGUGCAAGAUCCAUUGAAGACUCAUGUAUUGUGCUACUUAGUAGAAUUUCGUGUUGUAUUUUAUAUGGAUCAAAUAUUAUACCUUGACUUGUGUAUGUACUCAAUAUCAAUUUUAACGUUUCAUGCAUAAUAUACUAGUCAGUUAUGUA
Long non-coding RNA from Vicia villosa (hairy vetch), 9995 nucleotides. RefSeq lists it as uncharacterized. The record is from RefSeq and is a predicted model, not a curated record. The transcript has 2 exons. Lineage: Eukaryota; Viridiplantae; Streptophyta; Magnoliopsida; Fabales; Fabaceae.